CUUGAGAGAUUAUAAUUAUGAUGUUCAUUUUAUGAUUCUUAUGCUAUAUUAUAAACAUUUCCUGUGGGGAAAAAUUUCAAUGCAAAUGUAGAAAUUGAAUUUUCAUGACCGCCAUUUGCUUAGUUUAGGCUUUUAUCAUUUCUUGUUUUGAUUUCUUUAGUAGCCUCCCAACAAUUUCCCUGCCAUUGGUCUUUUUUCCUUUUAAUUUAGCUUCACUGGAUUUUCCAGCAUUAUUGAACUCACUGUGGUUGUCUUUUUAAAUUAUUUAUUUAUUUAGAGACAGAGUCUUGCUCUGUUACCCAGGCUGGAGUGCAGUGGUGCGAUUUUGGCUCACUGCAGCCUCUGCCUUAUAGGUUAAAGAGAUUCUCCUGUCUCAGCCUCCCAAAUAGCUGGGGUUCCAGGCAUCCGCCACCACACCCAGCUAAUUUUUUUGUAUUUUAAGUAGAGAGGGGGUUUCACCAUGUUGGCCAGGCUGGUCUUGAACUCCUGGCCUCAAGUGAUUUGCCCACCUAAGCCUCCUGAGGUACUAGGAUCACGGGCAUGAGCCACUGUGCCCUGCUUUUUUAAAAAAAUAGAGAUAGAGGUCUCACCAUUUUGCCCAGGCUGGUCUCAAACUCCUAGGCUCAAGCGAUCUACCCACCUUGGCCAAGUGCUAGGAUUAUAGGUAUGAGCUACCAUGCCUGGCCCUCACCCUGAUUCUCUAAAGAUAUUAUGUUAACCACAUUUUCUUUAUCCAUUCACAUAUUGAUGGACACACACACAAAGAUAUUAUGUUAUUUCCUGCUUUUCUGCUAAGAUGAUGAUUCUUCUGCAAGGAGCAUCCACUUCCCUAACUAGAAUAAACCUUCCUUUGGAGGCAGAUAGGGUGGUUGGAUUUUUAUUUUAUCUUCCACCCAAAAAAGUAUCUUACUCAGGGAUUACCUAUAGAUAAAGAGCCGUCUAAGGGUUUUCCACCAAAUAUUUCUCUAAACUCUUACCUCUAAUGAAAUAAAAGAAAAAGUUAAUAAUUAUUGCUGUUUAUUCAAAACAUAAUUGAGAAAUCAGAAAUUAUUCAAACAUAGACUGAAGUAAUAGUUAACAAAUUGGUGUAUGGCUUAUAACAAUGGCAAAAAAUAAAAAAAUACAUUAUUUUUCACUUAUCAAGAUGCCUGGAGAUUUGUUUUUUCAUUUAAUACUUGACUAAUCUUGCAAUCUGUUUAAAUUUUUCAAUUUCAUUAUUAUUGAAAUAGCUGAAGGUACCUAUUUUCUAUAUAAUUUAAAUUCCUAAUGCAGCAGUUAUCUUACUCAAGAAAUGUCCCUUUUGGAGACCGGGCACAGUGGCUCACAUCUGUAAUCCCAGCACUUUUGGAGGCUGAGGCAGGCGGAUCACGAGGUCAGGAGGUCAAGACUAUCCUGGCCAACAUAGUGAAACCCCAUCUCUAUAAAAAAAGGAAAUAUCUCCUUUGGAAAAAAAUCCUGUUUGUGGUUUUUUUUGUUUUUUGUUUUUUAAGUAAAAAGAGAGACUGGACGCAGUGGCUCCCACCUCUAAUCCCAGCACUUUGAGAGGCCAAGGUUGGUGGAUUGGUUGAGCUCCCAAGUUUGAGACCAACCUAAGCAACAUGACAAAACCCUGGCUCUACAAAAAAAUACAGAAAUUAGCUGGGCAUGGUGGUGCAUGCCUGUAGUCCCAGCUACUCAGGAGGCUGAGGUGGGAGGAUAGUCUGAGCCCGGAGGACUGGCCUGAACCCAGGAGGCAGAGGUUACAGUGAAUCAAGAUCGCACCAUUGCACUUCAGCCUGAGAUACAGCCAGACCUUGUCUCAAAAAAUAUAUAUCUAAAUGAAAAGAGAAAUAUUUUUGUUUAGUUAGUUUGCAAUCUGUAUUAUUGCCAUAUAUUCAGUAUCUGAUCUUUUAGAAGCCAAUAAAACACAUACGGGUCAUAAAUAAGCAGUGGAUUGGCCAGGUGUGGUAGCUCACUCCUGUAAUCCCAGCACUUUGGGAGGCUGAGGCAGAUGAAUCACUUGAGGUCAGGAGUUUGAGAUCAGCCUGACCAACAUGGGGAAACCCCAUCUCUACUAAAACUACAAAAAUUAGAUGGGCAUGGUGGUUCACGUUUGUAGUCCCAGCUAUUCGGGAGGUUGAAGUAGGAAAAUUGCUUGAACCCAGAAGGUGGAGGUUGUAGUGAGCUGAGACUGUGCCACUGUACUCUGGCCUGGGUAAUAGAACAAAACUCUAUCUAAAAAAAACCCCAAAAAACAAUGGAUUAUAAAUUGACAUAAACCAUUGAUCGCUUGUAUUCUGAAAGAGCCAUGGAUUAUAACCCUUACCAUGGUAUCCAUAUACCAUAACAUAGUUUUUGAAUCAUCAUUGUAAAAUCUUUAUUCCUUUGCAUAAUGCAUUAAAAAGUGGCUCAGAGGCUGGGCGCUGUGGCUUAUGCCUGUAAUCCCAGCAUUUUGGGAGGCUGAGGCGGGCAGAUCACCUGAGGUCGGGAGUUGGAGACCAGCCUGACCAACAUGGGGAAACUCCAUCUCUACUAAAAAUACAAAAUUAGCUGGUGUGGUGGCACAUGCCAGCUAAUUUUGUGGUGGCUAAUCCCAGCUACUCAGGAGGCUGAGGCAGGAGAAUUGCUUGAACCCGGGAGGCUGAGGUUUCAGUGAACUGAGAUCACGCCAUUGCACUCCAAUCUGGGGGACAAGAGUGAAACUCCAUCUCAAACAAACAAACAAAAAGGCUCGGAGCAGAGUAAAGCUUAUCUUUUAGAAACAGAAUUCCAUUUUAUAUAAUAAAUACCCAGUUUAUGUUUAAUAUUAAGGUAAAACUAUCCUUGACUGCCAAGGAAAAGAGGAGGAAAUAAAACAAAUGAUAUUAGCUAUAGUGCAGGUCUGUAAAAAUACAUUGUAGAUUAAAAUACAGUUGAUCUGGGCAUGCUGGCAUACUCCUUUAGUCCCAGCUACUUCAGAGGAGGUGCAAGAGAAUCACUUGAACCCAGGAGAUCAAGGCUGUAGUAUGCUAUGAUUGCAUCUGUGAAUAGCCACUGCACUCCAGCCUGGACAGCACAGUGAAACCCCAUUUUUAAAUUAAAUAAGUAAAAUAUCUUGAUUAUCAAAUAUAAAAUAAAAACAUUCUCUCAGAUUGAGACCUUGCAAAUGAAUAGCAAAAAUUAAUACCUUGACCAGGCGCAGUGUCUCACGCCUGUAAUCUCAGCACUUUGGGAGGCCAAGGCAGGCAGAUCAUGAGGUCAUGAGAUUGAGACCAUCCAGGCCAUCAUGGUGAAACCCCAUCUUUACUAACAAUACAAAAAUUAGGCCGGUGCGGUGGCUCACACCUGUAAUCCCAGCACUUUGGGAGACCAAGGCAGGCAAAUCAUGAGGUCAAAUCAUGACCAGCCUGGCCAACAUGGCGAAGCCCCAUCUCUACUAAAAAUACAAAGAAUUAGCUGGAUGUGGUGGCACACGCCUGUAGUCCCAGCUACUUGGGAGACUGGGGCAGGAGAAUCACUGGAACCUGGGAGGUGGAGGUUGCAGUGAGCCGAGACCUCGUACACUCCAGCCUGGACAACACAGCGAGAUUCUGUCUCAAAAAGUAAUACAUAAAUAAACAAAUUAGCUGGGCAUGGUAGUGUGUGCCUGUAAUCCCAGACACUCGGGAAGCUGAGGCAGGACAGUCGCUUGAACCAGAGCAUCGGAGGUUACAGUAAGCCGAGAUUGCGCCGCUGUACUUCAGCCUGGUGACAGAGCAAGACUCUGAAAAAAAAAAAAAAAAAUUAGCACCUCAGUGUUGUUCAGACUAGCUAAUUAAACAUCACAAUGGAAAAAUCCAUUAAAUAUUACAUUAAUUAAUUAGGUUAUUUUUAUGUUCUUACAUAGGUCAAACUUAUCAAACCAAGAAACUGAAUUUUUUCUCACUUCCCCAAGGACUAUAAAAGAUUUUAAUUAAUUAAACUUUUCAUAUUGAGAAUUCCCUUGGUUUUAAGAAGUUUUUUACUUUACUGUAACUUUUCUAAGUAGUUGCUGAAGAUAGUCUUAUGUGUGGUUUGGUAAUUUUUGUGGUUAAUACAUACUGUGAAAAAAUAUAGGUAUGCAGUACCAUGGCAUAUAUGAUCAGCCAUGUCAAAGCAAGAUAUUGAGUCAUUUGUUAUUUCAUAAUAUGUAUAGUUAAAGGUAAAUUAUAAAAAAAUAUGAUUAAGGCUGGGCGCUGUGGCUCACACCUGUAAUACCAGCACUUUGGGAGGUGAGGCAGGUGGAUCAUGAGGUCAAGUGAUCGAGACCAUCUUGGCCAACAUGGUGAAAUUAUGUCUCUACUAAAAUUAGCUGGGCAUGGUGGCAUGCGCCUGUAGUCCCAGCUACUCAGGAGGCUGAGGCAGGAGAAUCACUUGAACCCGCGACGCGGAGGCUGCAGUGAGCCAAGAUGGCGCCACUGCACUCCAUCCUGGCGACAGAGCAAGAGUUCGUCUCAAAAAAAAAAAAAAUUGGCCCGGCGCCGUGGCUCACGCCUAUAAUCCCAGCACUUUGGGAGGCUGAGGCGGGUGGAUCACGAGGUCAAGAGAUCGAGACUGUCCUAGUCAACAAGGUGAAACACCGUCUCUACUAAAUAUACAAAAUUUAGCUGGGCAUGGUGGCGCGCGCCUAUAUUCCCAGCUACUCGGGAGGCUGAGGCAGGAGAAUUGCUUGAACCCAAGAGGCGGAGAUUGCCGUGAGCCGAGAUCGCGCCAUUGCACUCCAGCCUGGGUAACAACAGCGAAACUCCGUCUCAGAAAAAAAAAAAAAAAAAAAAAUUAAAGACAGUAUUCUUUAAAAACGAAACAAAACAAAACAAAAAACCUGACAUCAGUGAGUUUAUUUUCUUUCUUUCUUUCUUUUUUUUUUUUUUGAGAUGGAGUCUUGCUCUGUCUCGCCCAGGCUGUAGUGCAGCGGCAUGAUAUCAGUUCAUGGCGUCCUCCGCUUCCCUGGGUUCAAGCAAUUCCCCCGCUUCAGCCUCUUGUGUUGCUGGGACUACAGGUGCGUGCCACCAUGCCCAGCUAAUUUUAGUAGAGACAUGUUUUUACCAUGUUGGCCAAGAUGGUCUCCUACCUGGUGAUCUGCCUGCCUUGGCCUCCCAAAGUGCUGGGAUUACAGGCAUGAGCACCAUGCCCGGUCAGUGAGUUAGUUUAUUUUUUUAUUCACUUGUUUUGCACCUUAUUACCGAACGGAUUUCAAGUACAAAUUAAUUUUUUAUAAUGGAAGUAAUAUUUAUAUAUUCAUUAAAAAUUAAGUAUCUACCAUAUGCCAAACACUGUGCUAAAUGCUACUUAUUCGGAGAUAAACAUGUUCCUUUCCUCAAGAAGUUUGUGGUUUAAAGGAAAAGCAAGUACAAUACAAUGUGAUCAUGUUAUUAACUCUAUUAUGUAUGAAGUGAUAUACUGAGCACCUUACAUACUGUUAUUCUCUAUUUUUCAGAUAAGGAAAUUCUUAGAGAUAUUAGGUAACUUGUCCUAGGUCACACAAUAAGUGUGAAAUUCAAAUCAGAAUUUGAACUCAGAUGUGUUUGACUCCAAAGCUUAUUAUCUUGCUGCCUCUGUACAGUAUACUGAUUAGAGUUGGAUACAGCAAUACAGGUUUUAUGGGAACACUAAGACAUGUGAGUCAAAGUAGUCCAUUGGAUUUGGAAGGGGACACUUAAAUUCCAUUUAGAAGACUAAAUAGGAAUUAGCCAAGAGGAAGAGGGAGCUGAAAAGCAUUCCAGCAGAGACAUUACCAUGUGCAAAGGCGUGGAGAUGAGAAAGCAUAGCACAUUUGAUACUUGUGUGGCUUUUAUUUCUCUUAAUAAAGGAGGGUAAACCUGCAAGGAAAACCAGAGAAUGACCUGAAAGUAAUUCAUUCAUUCAUUUAUUCAGUUACUGUUGGGCACUGUAGACUAUAUUGCUAUAUUUCUAGACUGUAUGCUAUAUUUCUAGGAAGAUAGUGGAAUUUUUAAAUUAAGUCACAGACAUGUCACACAUGUUAAACAAGAGCCUUAAAAUCUUAAUUCUGCCCUCUAGUUUGUUUUAUUUUGCUGUUAAAACAGUGUCUUCUAAAUUGUAAAAUUUCUUUCUCCCUCUCUUUUUUUCCCCCUGAUCAUUUCUCUUGUCAUGCUACCUGAUGCCAAGCUGUGUGGAGAUUUUAGAACUGAAGACUGCCUAAACUGUUCCCAUUUCAACUAUGCUUAAAUCCUAUUUGAUUCCUAAAGAUUUGUAAAAGGAUAAGUAUGUUUCUUUGUAUCCUCUAAAAGACCUUAUCUUUUAGAGGAUAAAUGUACCAGAAGUACUAAAACAGAUCCUUUCAAGGAUGUGUCUGGAGAGAUAGAAGCAUACCAAGCUGCUACAUAGUGUACAGGACAACACAAGACUAUGAAUCAACAUAUGAAACUUAGGAGGUAGAGAAUAACUUUCUGACUUUGAAGGGGUGACAUUCAUAGAUACAUUUAUCAUUCAGUGAGAUAAAUUUUUAUUUUUUUCAACCUUAGAAUCUAAAGAGACAGGCUUCAACACUCAUUUCAAAUGCUUUAUCUUACUAGAAGAAUUUCCCUGAGGUCAGCUGGUAGUAUCAUUCCCUCCCAUGAACUACCUCAGUAUUCUAUCUUUUUAUCUUCUUAGAAGACAUUUGGUAAUUCCUUCCUUUUUAUUAUAAGUCAUUUAUAUGCAUGUCUUAACUCCUUUAUUAAAUUGUACCUUCCUUGAAUCAGAAUUCAUGUUUGAUCCACAGCACUAAGCCUUGUACAUAUGAAGCACUGAGUUAAUAUUUAAUGAAUUAAAGCAUAGCAUUUGUAUUACAAACUGAAUUAUUAGAGCAGUUUCUUUUUUUGAGACAGAGUUUUGCUUUUUGACUGGGCUCAGUGGCUCACGCCUGUAAUCCCAGCACUUUAGGAGGCCGAGGCAGGUAGAUCACGAGGUCAAGAGAUCGAGAUUAUCCUGGUCAGCAUGGUAAAACCCCAUCUCUGCUAAAAUACAAAAAUAGAGCAGUGUUUCUUUUAUUUAUUUUGGCUCCCCAUUGAGGAAUUGAACCCCGGUCUCCCUCAUGACAGGUGGGAUACUCACCACUAUACAAACGAGGAGAGCAGUGUUUCUUAAGUGUUGAACAUGAAUUACCUACAUCAGAAUUACCUGGAGUGUUUUGUUAUGCAAAUUCAAAUUCCUGUGCUUGUGCCCACACCUACUAAACGAGAAUUUCUAUGGGUUCAGGGAAUCUGUUUUGAAUAAAAAUUGUAGGUAAUGGGCCCAGUGCGGUGGCUCACACCUGUAAUCCCAGCACUUUGGGUGGCUGAGGUGGGCAGAUCACCUGAGGUCAGGCAUUUGAGACCAGCCUGGCCAACAUGGUGAAACUCCAUUUCUACUAAAAAAUAGAAAAGUUAGCUGGGUGUGGUGGUGCACGUCUGUAAUCCCAGCUACUCAGGAGGCUGAGGCAGGAGAAUUGCUUGAACCUGGGAGGCGAAGGUUGCAGUGCACUGAGAUCUCGCCAUUGCACUGCAGCCUGGUGACAAGAGUGAAACUCCACCCCCCCACCAAAAAGAAAUUGUAGGUAAUUAUGGUGCACACUAAAGUUUGAGAACCACUGCACUGGGGAGAAUGUAAGAAUCCAAAUUUAAGUUACAUUUACAUGAAAGGACAGAUACAUAUCUUGAUAAAAAUUAUAAACAUUUAGGUCACUCCGUCUUGCCCUGCCCCGGCGGGUGAGUGGCUGGGAUCCUCUGCUUGUCGGCACUGUCUUCUGGAACGUUGUUGCGGUCUGCCUGUUGAGGAGGGUGUGUCCUGCGGAGCGAUGGCUGUUGUGUUGCAUGAAUAUCAGUUAUCGCUGAAGCUUCUCUUUGGCUCAUCAGCCACUCAGGCCUUGGACCUAGUUGAUCGACAAUCCAUAACCUUAAUCUCAUCACCCAGUGGAAGGCAUGUUUACCAGAUGGAGUCUUGCUUUGUCACCAGCCUGGAGUGUAGUAACGCAAUCUUGGCUCACUGCAACCUCCGCCUCCCGGGUUCAAGCGAUUCUCCUGCCUCACCUCUCGAGUACCUGGGACUACAGUAGAGAUGGGGUUUCACCAUGUUGACCAGGAUGGUCUGGAUCUCUUGACCUUGUGAUCCGCCUGCCUCAGCCUCCCAAAGUGCUGAGAUUACAGGCGUGAGCCACCGAACCAGAUCUUCCAGCAGUUACAUGGCAGAUAUUUUCAAGCCCUUCCAGUCACCCAUUGCCUUGGCAAUGUCAUCACCAACCUUUUUUGGAGACAGACCCAGGGGACUGAUCUUGGGGGCCAGUGCAGAAGUGGCACCUACUUCCCCCACAGUGCACAUCAGGUAUAUGACUUUGAUCUUGUUGGGGGUCGAACUUCGGUGGCAUGGCGGAGGCAGCUGGUGUCAGAUGAACCCGGAUUUGGGACAACUGAAGAAAGUUGCACCUUGGCCUCCUCCAAGCUGAAAGCCAAAAGCAGGAAUCUUUAAUAAGAUUAUAGGGCUGGUGCAGUGGUUUAUGCCUGUAAUCCCAACACCUUGUAGGUUGAAGCAGGAUGAUUGCUUGACCCCUGGAGUUUGAGACCAGCCUGGGUAACAUAGCAAGAUGCUGACUUUACAAAAAAAAAAUUAGCCAGGCACAUUAGUACCUGCCUGUAGUCCUAGCUAUUUGGCAGGCUGAGGCAGGAGGAUCCCGUAAGCCCAGAACUUGGAGGCUGCAGUGAACAAUGAUUACACCAUUGAACCUCAGCUUGGGUGACAGAGUGAGACCCUGUCCCCCACCUCAAAUAAAUCAUAGGUAUGCCCAGACAUGUUGCUCUUAAUAACAUAAUUAAGCUGGGCUUGGUGGCUCUCGUCUAUAAUCCCAGCACUUUGGGAGGCCAAGGCAGGUGGAUCACAGGUCAGGAGUUUGAGACCAGUCUGGCCAACAUGGUGAAACCCUGUCUCUACUAAAAAUACAAAAAUUAGCCAGGCGUGGUGGCAGGUACCUGUAAUCCCAGCUACAUGGGAUGUUGAGGCAGGAGAAUCGCUUGAAUCCAGGAGGCAGAGGUUGCAGUGAGCCGAGAUUGAACCACGGCACUCUAGCCUGGUGACAGAGUGAGACUUGGUCUCAAAAAGAAAAAAAAAAAGCAUAGUUAAGAUAUUUUUAUCUUUCAAUGCAAAUUUGUAAUCUGGUAAAUUGAAAAGCAGUAUGAACAUUGAAUUAUCUGUGGAACUCAAAGGAAAAAGAUCACUGUAAUUUCAUAUUUUACAUGAGAAAAGAUUUCUUGAAUUUUUUUGCUUUGAUCUAUAUUUUGUCAUUUCAUUGAGAGUAGAAAAAGAAUGAAUCGCUUUUUUAAAAAUUUAUUUUUAUUUUUAUUCAUUUUUUUUUUUGAGACGAAGUUUCACUCUUGUUGCCCAGGCUGGAGUGCAAUGGCGCGAUCUCAGCUCACUGCAACCUCUACCUCCUGGGUUCAGGCAGUUUUCCUGCCUCAGCCUACUGAGCAGCUGGGAUUACAGGCACGUGCCACCAUGCCCAGCUAAUUUUUUGUAUUUUUAGUAGAGACGGGGUUUCACCAUGUUGACCAGGAUGGUCUCGAUCUCUUGACCUCGUGAUCCACCUGCCUCAGCCUCCCAAAGUGCUGGGAUUACAGGCUUGAGCCAUGGCACCCAGCCAUGAAUCGCUUUUUAUAAACAAUAUUUUUCUUUUCUAAAUUUGACACUAGUAUGAAACUUACCCAAGUUGUUUAAAUUUGUUUGUUUUUUGAGAUGGAGUCACCCAGCUCUGUCACCCAGGCUGGAGUGCAGUGGCAUGUUCUCGGCUCACUGCAACCUCCACCUCCCAAGUUCAAGCAAUUAUCCUGCCUCAGCCUCCUGAGUAGCUCAGACUACAGGUGCAUUCUACCACACCCGGCUACUUUUUUUUUGUAUUUUUUAGUAGAGAUGGGGUUUCACUGUGUUAGCCAGGAUGAUCUUGAUUCCUGACCUCGUGAUCCACCCAUCUCAGCCUCCCAGAGUGCUGAGAUUACAGUCACAAGCUACCACACCCUGCCAGUGUUUAGGAUUUAAAAAUAUAAACUGAGGAUUUGAUUUUUUUUGUCUUAUUUUUUUUUAAGGGAGGGGGUUGUUGCUUUGAGGGGAGUUAUGCUUUUUUUGUUUUGUUUUUUUUGUUUUUUUCCUUUUUGUGGAGAAUGGGGUCUCGCUAUAUUGCCCAGGCAGGUCUCGAACUUCUGGGCUCAAGCUGUCCUCUCACCUGUGCCUCUCUAAGAGCUGAGAUUACAGGCAUGAGCCACAGCGCCCGGCUGUUUUUGUUUUUUUUGAGAUGGAGUCUCGCUCUGUAGCCAGGCUGGAGUGCAGUGGCAGUAUCUCGGCUCACUGCAGCCUCCACUUUCUGGGUUCAAGUGAUUCUUCUUCAGCCUUUUGAGUAGCUGGGACUACAGGUGCACAUCAUCAUGCCCAGCUAAGUUUUGUAUUUUUAGUAGAGACAGGGUUUCGCCAUGUUGGUCAGGCUGGUCUCGAACCCCUGUCCUCUGGUGAUCUGCCCGCCUUGGCUUCCCCAAAGCGUUGGGAUUACAGGCAUCAGACACCUCAGCCGGACAUUUUUUUUGAGAUGGAGGCUCAGUCUGUUGCCCAGGCUGGAGUGCAGAUCUUGGCUCACUGCAACCUCUACCUCUUAGGUUUAAGCAAUUUUUGUGCCUCAACCUCCCAAGUAGCUGGGACUACAGGCACAAGCCACCAUGCCUUGCUAAUUUUUAUUUUUAUUUUUGUAGAGAUUGGGUUUCACCAUGUUGUCCAAGCUGAUCUCAAACUUCUGGGCUCAAGCAAUCUGCCUGCCUCAGCUUCCUAGAGUUGAAAUUACAGCUCUGAUUCUCAGGCUGAGAUUACAGGUCUGAGCCACAGCGCCUGGCCAUAAUUUAUGUUUUAAAUAGCAUUUUGUUCUGAUUAGAUAGAAGCCACAUACUCAUUAUUAGAGUUUUUGAAACUAUGGGGAAAAAGAACAAAAAUUACUUGUAUUUUGCCACUCUAAAUAGCCAUUGUUUAGGAAUAGUUUUCUCUUUUUUUUUCUAUGCAAAUAUAACUAAAUUGAGAUGAUACAUAUAUGUACUUAUAGUAUUAUGCCCUGCUUUUUCCCUUUAACACUUUAAAAUAAGCACUUUUGUAAAUCAUUAGACGUUUCUUGAAAACAUAAUGUCGAAAUGUUGUUAGUGUGAUUUUGCUCAAAAUUCACAGUAGGAGGUAUAUUUUAUUUUGUGAUUAAGGCCACACAUACAUAUUUAAUUGUAUCAAAACAUAAAUUGUAAAACAGUAUUAAGGGUAAUGCAUUUUGAUUUUUUUUGAGUCAAAGUUUCACUCUUGUUGCCCAAGCUGGAGUGCAAUGGCGCAAUCUCAGCUCGCUGCAACCUCUGCCUCCUGGGUUUAAGUAAUUCUCCUGUCUCAGCCUCCUGAGUAGCUGGGAUUAUAGAUGUGUGACACCAUGCCUGGUUAAUUUUUUUGUAUUUUUAGUAGAAAUGGGGUUUCACCAUGUUUGCCAGGCUGGUCUCAAACUCCUGACCUCAGGCGAUCCACCCGCCUCAGCUUCCCAGAGUGCUGGGAUUAUAGGUGUGAGGCACCAUGCCCGACCUGCAUUCUGAUAUUAUCUGUUGUAUUUUAUUUUUAAAAAUAUGCUUGUUUCAUCCCUUUGAAUUGAUUUUGCAUUUCACUAAUGGGUUGCAGCCUGCAGUUGGAAAAAUGUCUCCUGUAUAAAUAUUCUGUAAUCCAAUUAUGACCCUUUUAUUGGACAAAUUUGGUUCAGAAUUUUGCCAGUAGAUGAAUUUAAAAGUGUUUGUGAGUGUAUUUACCAAAGUAAUUAAGGCUGGCUGUAAUAAAUUAUUGCUAAAGUGUUAAUACAUAAGUCUUCUGGCCAGGUGUGGUGGCUCAUGCCUGUAAUCCCAGAACUUUGGGAGGCUGAGGUGGGUGGAUCACGAGGUCAAGAGAUCGAGACCAUCCUGGCCAACAUGGUGAAACCCCAACUCUACUAAAACAAUGCAAACAUUAACUGGGCAUGGUGGCGCAUGCCUGUAGUCCCAGCUACUCGGGAGGCUGAGGCAGGAGAAUUGCUUGAACCUGGGAGACAGAGGUUGCAGUGAGCCGAGAUUGCGCCACUGCACUCCAGCCUGGCGCCUGGCGACAGAAAAAAAAAAAAUAAUAAUAAUAAAUAAAUAAUAAGUCUUCCUUAUCAGUUUGUUAUAUACUUUUUACAGAUUUUUGUAUGUGUUCACUUACUCUCUAUGUCAAUAUCUAUUUUUACACACUUUUUCCACUUUGAGGCAGAAGAACUGCUUUACUACACCUUUAAAUUUUUUUAAAGUAUAUCAUGACUAUCUUUUCACAUCAACAUAUAGUUACCUUGUUCUUUUGCCUGCUGCAUAGUACUCCAUUACAGAUGGAUCAAAAUUUAACUUUUUCAUUAUUAAUGAAGAUUGUGUUGCUUCCAAUUUUUUGUAUUACAAAGAAUGCUUCAGUGGCCAUUCAUAUAUAUAGACCUUUGUGCAUACCUGCAUAUGUUUUUGUAGAAUAAAGUUUCCUAGAAUUGAGGUUGUUGAAAUAUAGGGUAUACACGCUUAAAAUUUUUUUUUAAAUCUUCAACCUAUUCUUCACAACAUUUAUAUCAGUCAACUCUUAACUCCAAUAGUAUAUAUAAGAAAGAGGCUGGACGUUAUGGCUCACACCUGUAAUCCCAGCACUUUGGGAGGCCAAGGCAGGUAGAUUCCUUGAGCCCAGGAAUUAGAGACCAGCCUGAACAACAUGGUGAAACCCUAUUUCCACAAAAAUUAGCCAGGUAUGGUGGCACACAGCUGUGGUCCUAGCUACUCAGGAGGCUGAGGUGGGAGGAUCACCUGAGCCGGGGAAGUCGAGCAGUAGAUAUUUUCUAUUUUAAUUUUUGCCAAUCUGAUGAGUGAAAAAAAUGCGUUUGAUUUUAAUGUAUUGGUUUGGCAUCUUUUCACAUGCUUAUUGGUGUUUUAUAGUUCUGUGAAUUGCUUGUUUAUAUCUUUUAUGAACUUUUGUAUUUUUAUUAUUGAUUUAUAGGAAAUCUUUAUAUAGUAUGGAUGUUAGCCACUUGAGUAUUAUGUGUUACAAAUGGCUUCUCAUAGUCUAUAAAAUGUCUUAAAACUACAAGAGAAUCUUUUUCUAUAUAGAAAUUAAAAUUUUUGUACUUGGUCACAUUGGUUAAUUUUUUUCUUUAUGGCUUCUGGGAUUUGUGUAAUGUUUAAAGGGUCUAACGGACCUUGUCCACCUACUGUCUUCUGUGUUCCUCUGGAUAUUUAUAGCUUUUUAUGUUUAUUGGAAAUUUUUGUAUUGGAUACCACCACAUAUAAAUAGUUCUUUUUUAAAAAAUUUUUUAUUAUUAUUUUUAAGACAGGGUUUCACCAUAUUGGUCAGGCUGGUCUUGAACUCCAAACCUCAGGUGAUCUACCCGCCUUGGCCUCCAAAGUGCUUGGAUUACAGGCGUGAGCCACCACACCCGGCCCAUAUAAAUAGUUCAAAUUGAUAUAUCUAAUUAUUACUUCUGAUAAGUAAAUAAUUCUUUUAAUUAGGAAGAUUGGCAAGUUUGUGAAAGGAGUUCUAAUUUUGUUAAAAUGCCUAAAUUGAAAACUGGGAAUCUAUAAUGGUAAAUAUAGUUGGUCAAGCCAUGAAUAUAAGAUUUAUAAAUGGUUGGUAUAAUGGUAGAUCUUUUUUGGGUAGGAAAAUGCUUAAACAAAAGUACAGAUUUCUUUUUUUUUUUUUUUUUUGAAACAGAGUCUUACUCUGUCACCCAGACUAGAAGGCAGUGUUGUGAUCUCAGCUCACUGCAACCUUCACCUCCUCGGUUCAAGAGAUUCUCCUGCCUCAGCCUUCAAAGUAGUUGGGAUUACAGGUGUCUGCUACCAUACCCGGUGAAUUUUUGUAUUUUUAGUAAAGAUGGGAUUUUGCUAUGUUGGCCAGGCUGGUCUCAAACUCCUAACCUCAGAUAAUCCACCUGCCUUGGCAUCCCAAAGUGCUGGCCUCCCAAAGUGUUGGGCCACCUCACCUGGCUCAAAAGUGCACAUUUCUAAGCAAUCUCUAGAGCCAACCAAAUUCUUUGGGUGUUUCACAAAUUCUUGCCUUGGUGACAUUUUCUGUCUUAGAAUGUAAGGAAAGAAAUAUAUUUGUAUAAGAAAUCUGGAGGGAUAUACACCAAAUUAUUAACAAUGAUUUUCUUGGGGCCUGAUGUGGCUGACACCUGUAAUCUCAGCACUUUGGAAGGUUUAGGCAGGUGGUACAACUGAUAUUAGGAGUUUGAGACCAGCCUGGCCAACAUAGUGAAACUCUGUCUCUACUAAAAAUACAAAAAUUAGCCGGGUGUGGUGGCGUGCACCUGAAUCCCAGGUACUGGGGAGUCUGAGGCAGGAGAAUCACUUGAACCUGGGAAGUGGAGGUUACAGUGAGCUGAGAUCACACCUCUGCACUCCAUCCUGGGCAACAGCAAGACUCUGUCUCAAAAAACAAACAAACAAACAAAAAAAAACCUAAUUAAAAAAAACAGUGAUUUUCUUGGGAUGGUAAGAUUUCAGAAUUUUUUUCUUUUUUUUAAUUUAAGACAGAGUUUCACUCUUAUUGCCGAGGCUGGAGUACAAUGGUGUGAUCUAGGCUCAUUGCAACCUCCACCUCCCAGGUUCAAGUGAUUCUCCUGCCUCAGCCUCCCAAGUAGCUGGGAUUACAGGUGCAUGCCACUACGCCUGGCUAAUUUUGUAUUUUUGCUAGAAGUCUUGAACUCCCGACCUCAGGUGAUCUGUCUGCUCAGCCUCCCAAAAUGCUGGGAUUACAGGUGUGAGCCAGUGCACCUGGCAGAUUUCAGAUUUUUUUUUUAAAGCCUUUUAACUUAUUUUUUAAGUUUCUUUUUAUUUUUAUCUUUUUAUCUUUUUUUUCUCUUAUUUUUCUAAGUUUUUUUCCCAACAAAAAAUGUUAUUUGUUUAGUGAAUAUAGGACACAUAAAGGAUUAAGUGAUGGAUACUGCUGCUUUGGAUCUAUUUAUAGCCAAUGAGGAAGAAUUGGUGGGUAGGAACGAUAGAAACCUCUGGAGACAAAGUGACCGUUUUAUAAAAGUUUGUGAUAGCUAGGAUGAGAAUUCUGGAAGUAGCAACAUACGUAUAUUGUCUAGAUAUGGUAGGAAGAAGGCUUUAAAAGAAUUGAACAAAAAAUAAGUAGUCAUGACCUCAUGAGCUAAGACUGGGAAAGUUGGGAAACAUUAAAACGUAAUUAUAUAAUUACAAAGUUAUAAAUUAUAGCAAUGAGUUUUUUUUAUAAAAGGCAAAUGUUACAUGCAGAGCAGGCCAGGAGUUACAAAAAGAAAAAACAAAGAAAAGGCAAAUGCAACUGAAGCUACUGUGACUCCAGUUGCAACAGUGUUAACUCAGGUGUUUUUCUUUUUUGGAGACGGAGUCUCUGUGUCACCCAAGCUGGAGUGCAGUGGUGCGAUCUUGGCUCACUGCAACCUCUGCCUCCUGGGUUCAAGUGAUUCUCCUGCCUUAGCCUCCUGAGAUUACAAGCAUGAGCCACUGCAGCUGGCCUUAACUCAGGUUUUACGAAGGAUAUAUAUAAAAGAUGAAUAUAGAAAAGUGACAAACAUAUAAGUGUGCCAGAAAAGUUAAAAUUCAGAAUUAACAGAUGUGAGGAAUAUAUUAAAGAUAAUUUUAAAUAUUUUACAAUUCAGAAACUAGAAUAAGGAAAAUAUAUGCCUAUUUAAUAUUAACUGCUCCUAUUUUGUUUCCACAUUUUCCAUCAAGGAGGAUAAUCUUUAUUCUGUAAAAACAACAAAUCAGUAAAGUAGAACUAAAGUCCAAUAUUCUUUCAUUGAAAUUAAGAAAGCAUCUUAACUACUCAAUAUGACUUUGUUUCCUAACCUGAACUAAUUAUAUAUCUGAGAUUGCUCUGAACUUAUAGGUAAGAAAGUUGAAUUUUGGGGAAUUGUUGAGAAUAGAAAAAUGCCAGAGGAUUGGAGGUAAACAAUGAGUAAGGACUUUGACAGCAUGUUGAUUACAUUCAGAAAUGACAAAGCUUGCUGGACCUUUAUGCAAACAGUAAAAAUAAUUUGAAAGUCUUGUAGCAAGAAGGAAUUAACGGAUUGGUUUAAAUAAGUAUAACUAAAUAUAUAAUCCUGCAUUUGGGUUGGAAAAAAAACAGUUGAAGAAUUGAUAAAGGAUAAAUAGCAUAAUAAAAGCAUUUAUUACAAAGGGAAUUUUAUUGUUGAUAAACUUAAUUAUGAAUCAGCCACAUGAUUUGCCUGCCAAAAUUCAGUUAUUAUAGUUUUCUAAACAAGGGAGAUUGGUUAGGCUUGGACCUGGCAUGUAUCCAGAUUUAGGUGUACUACGUUUGAGAAAAAUUGGCAUAUGUUCAAAUGGUAGCAGUAUUAGCUCUUUCUUGCGUGGCAAAAGAAUUAGAUAUAAUCUAGCCAUAAUGCAGCUCUGGGACCAAUGAUUACAGGAAGACUUAAGCGCAAUAGAAGGAAGAAUUUUCUAGUGAUGAGAACUGUCUAGACAAUAACAGGAUGCUUUGAGAGGCAGUAGUAUAUAUGUAUAGUGGUUUUCUUUUUUUUGUUUGUUUUUUGAGACAGAGUCCCGCUGUCACCCAGGCUGGAGUACAAUGGUGUGAUCUUGGCUCAGUGCCACCUCCAACUCCCAGGUUCAAGCAGUUCUCUUGUCUCAGCCUCCCUUGUAAUUGGGAUUACAGGCAACCACCACCAUGCCCAGCUAGUUUUUUUGUAUUGUUAGUAGAGACAGGGUUUUGCCGUGUUGGCCAGGCUGAUCUCGAACUCCUGACCUCAGGUGAUCCACUCGCCUCGGCCUCCCAAAGUGUUGGGAUUACAGGUGUGAGCCACCGCACCUGGCCUGUUUUUUUUUUUUUUAGCGACAGGAUCUCACUGUUACCCAGGCUGGAGUACAGUGGUGUGAUCUCAGCUCACUGCAACAUCUGCCUCCCAGGUUGAAGCAAUUCUCUUACCUUAGCCUCCCAAGUAGCUGGGAUUAUAGGCCAGUACCGCCACACCCAGCUAAUUUUUUGUAUUUUUAGUAGAGAUGGGGUUUCACAGUGUUGGCCAGGCUGGUCUCGAACUCCUAACCUCAAGUGAUCUGCCUGCUGAGGCCUCCCAAAGUGCUGGGAUUAAAGGCAUGAGCCUCCGCUUCCGGUCCUUGUAUACUGUUGGAAGGAGGCUAGUUAAAUUUUUUGUAAGAAUGUUAUAGAGGGAAUUAAAGUUCAAAUGUCUUGAAUAUAUACAUUGGUUUGGCUUUACAUUUUUUCAUAUGGUUACUGGCCAUUUUUAUAUCUUCUUUGGAGAAAUAUUUAUUCAAAUCCUUUACCCUUUUAUUUAUUUUUUUGAGAUGGAGUCUUGCUCUGUUGCCAGGCUAGAGUGCAGUGGUACGAUCUCGGAUCACUGCAAUCUUCGCCUCCCAGAUUCAAGCGAUUCUCCUGCCUCAGCCUCCCGAGUAGCUGGGAUUACAGGUGUGUGCCACCACACCCAGCUAAUUUUUGUAUUUUUAGUAGAGACGGGGUUUCACCAUGUUGGCCAGGAUGGUCUUAAUCUCCUGACCUUGUGAUCUGCCUGCCUCAGCCUCCCAAGGUGCUGGGGUUAGAGGUGUGAGCCACAGUGCCCAGCCAUACCCAUUUUUUAAUUGGGUUAUUUAUCUUUUAUUAUUUGAGUUGUAACAGUUAUCUAUAUAUUCUGGACAGAAGUCCUUUAUCAUAUAUGCUUAGCAAAUAGUUUCUCCCAUUCUGUGAGUUUGUCACUUUCUCUAUGGUAACAUUUGCAACACAAAGAUUUUUAAUUUGGAUGGAGUCCAGUUUAUUUUUUCUUUUGUACUUGUACUUUGGUGUUGGCUAAUCCAAGGUCAUGAAGAUUUACUAUGUUUUCUCCUAAAAGUUUUAUAGUUUUAGCUUUUCAUUUAUGUAUAAAAUUUAUUUUGAGUUAAUUUAUUUAUAUGGGGGAGUUGGGGUCCAACUUUAUUCUUUUGUGAGUGAACAUCUAGUUAUCCUAGCAUCAUAUGUUGUAAAAACUGUUCUUUCCCCUAUUGAAUUGUUCUGGCAAUGUUUUUUUUAAGACGGGGUUUCUCCAUGUUGGUCAGGCUGGUCUUGAACUCCUGACCUCAGAUGAUCCACCCACCAUGGCCUCGCAACGUGCUGGGAUUACAGGCAUGAGCCACCAGGCCUGGCCCUUUUUUGGUGGUGGUGGUUCUGGCAAUUUUUAAAAGGAUAGUGUGAUUUAAGGCCAGGCUCAUUGGCUUAUGCCUGUAAUCCCCGCACUGAGGCAGGUGGAUCAUGAUGUCAAGAGAUCAAGACCAUCCUGGCUAUCACGAUGAAACACCAUCUCUACUAAAAGUACAAAAAAUUAGCUGGAUGUGGUGGCACAUGCCUGUAGUCCCAGCUACUCUGGAGGCUGGGGGCAGGAGAAUCAGUGGAACCCAGGAGGCGGAGGUUGCAGUGAGUCGACAUCAUGCCACUGCACUUUAGCCUGGGCAACAGAGCAAGAGUCCGUCUCAAAAAAAAAAAAAUAGUAUAACAUUUACUUAUUUACUUACUUCCUUGCAGUGUCUUCCUCUGUUGCCCAGGCUAGAGUAUAGUGGUAUAAUCAUAGUUCACUGCAAUCUCCAACCCCCAGGUUCGAUCCUCCUGACUCAGCCUUCUAGAGUAGCUAGAUGUACCACACCUGGAUAAUUUAAAAAAAAAAAAAAAAAAAAGGCCAGGCAUGGUGGCUCACGCCUGUAAUCCCAGCACUUUGGGAGGCCAAGGUGGGUGGAUCACGAGGCCAAGAGAUCAAGACCAUCCUGGUCAACAUGGCGAAACCCUGUCUCUACUAAAAGUACAAAAAAUUAGCUGGGCAUGGUGGCACAUGCCUGUAAUCCCAGCUGCUCAGGAGGCUGAGGCAGGAGAAUUGCCUGAACCCGGGAGGCGGAGGUUGCGGUGCGCUAAGAUCGCGCCAUUGCACUCCAGCCUGGGUAACGAGCGAAACUCCGUCUCGAAAUAUAUAUAUAUAUAUAUUUUUUUUUUUUUGUAGAAUCAUGAUCUCCUUUUGUUGACCAUGCUGGUCUUGAACUCCUGGUCUGUAGUUAUUUUCCUGCCUCAGCCUCCCAAAGUGCUGGUAUUACAGGUGUGAGGCACCUUGCCCAGCCAUAACUUUUACUUUUUAUAAAAAUCCAAUAAAAACUAUGGAAGAUGGGAGAGAAAGUAUAGUACCCCCCGAUCUUAGGGGGAUGUGUUCUAAGAAUCCUAGUGGAUGCCUGAACUGUAGAUGGUACCAGACCCAGUUGCUGAUUGCAUGGAUUAAAACACAUUUUAGCUCAUGUUUUCCACUCAAAUUUAUACUGCCUUUUUCAUCUUAUCUAAGUACUUAUACACUGUGGCUAUAACAUUUGCAGUUUGAGAUGUGACAGCAAAACUAACACAGAUCUUUUUUACCUUGAAUUUCACUGUCAGGGCAAGGAUUCAUUCUUUCCAUAGAUCUCAGCAACCUCAGCAUAUUAUUUUUUUCUUUCUUGAAAUCAAGAACUUUUACCUUUUCACUUUAAAGGAAGUACUUUAUGGCUUCUAUUUAGCAUAUUCAAAUUGCCAGCAUCACUACUUUUGCAAUUUGGGGCCAUUAUUAAGUAAAAUAAGAGUUAUUUGAACACAGACACUGCUAUAAUGCUAUCUGACAGUUGAUCUGAUAGCCAGCUUGGCUGCUAAAUUACUACAAAGCUGGUAGCAUGCACAGCAUAGAUACACUGGACAAAGGGAUGAUUCAUGUCUCAGGCAGGACAGAGUGGGAUGAUGCAAGAUUUCAUUGGGCUACUCAGAAUGGUGUGCAAUGUAAAACUUAUGAUUCGUUUAUUUCUAGAAUUUUCCAUUAAAUAUUUUGGACUAUCGUUGACCAUGGGUAACUAAAACUCAAAAAGUAAAACCAUGAAUAAAGGGAAACUACUGUAAAGCAUAAUUCUGCUACCCUUACACAACUUCCAUAUUAUUGUUUUUGUUGUUGCCUAAUGUUCCAUCUGCAGGUUAUACAUAACUUAAUAAAUUUGUCCCUUAUUUAUUUGAAUUUAAUAUUAAAUGUAACACUGAAAUCAUAAUCUUUGUUCAUAAGCUAUUACCUUUCUAUUGCAUAAUUUUCUUUUAUACAUUUCUGAAAGGAUUUCUUCUAAAUUUACAUUGAAAACCACUAGUUAUAUAAUUUUGAUUUUGAAAAUUCUGAAAUAGGGGGUGUUAAAUACAUUGGCCAGUUUAACAUUACAAUAGCAGCUGAUACUGACCUCUGGCUAUGGGUCAGGCAAUAUGCCAAAUAGUUGUGUGCAUAAUCAUAUUUAGUUCAGAUUCUAUUAGAUAAGGAAUUCAAGGCUCAGAAAAGUUUGAUAACUUGCCCAAAGUCAUAAAACUAGUAAAUGGCAAAGAUGGCAUACAGGGCUGUGUAACUCCCAUACCUCACUGGCUCCCAUACUGGACAUAAACAGUUAUGAUGGCAAGAUUCCCACAGUAAUAGAUUAGAUUAGAUUAAAUAUUUUUUAAAUAAUUAAAUUUUAAAUUAAAUAUUGAAUUCACAUGAUUUAAGUACUAAUAUUGGCAUUAGUACUUAAUGCCAAUAUUAGUACUUACUUACGGGCAUUAUUGGCCCAAAUUUUUCUUGUUUUUCUUUUCUUUUUCUUUUUUUAAAUAAACCCACAGCCAACAUUGUAGGCGCAAUAUUUGUUUUGUAAAAAUGGAAAUCUAAAAACUGAUUCUUCUCUGGAGAUUUAAUAAUUUGUUAUUCUUGGGCCCCAUGGACUAAUCAUCUUGUAUUAUUCCCAUGUGUAUAGCACUUACCACUCCAAAGAGUCUAGAGAGGAUAUGUAGCCAAUACAGAAGUUAUUUCACUUAUGAGUACUUUAGUAAAGAAAUGGAAAAUGAAUUAGGAGUCUUUAACAUCGACAUGUAAAUCUAAAUUUCUUGAUGUCUUAAAAAUAUAAAGGUUAGUAUUUUGGAAAGAAUAUACACAAUAGUAGCAUUUCUGAUCCAGACAUCUAGGUCCUAUGAAUGUAUAUUCAGUUAAUAAUGGUCACCACUUAGUAGUUAUUUCAAUUGUAUAAUUAAUAAAUGUGUUUAGUAUUUAAAAUAAUUAUCUUUUUAAAAUUUUAAUUAAAAAAAAAAAUAGAGAUGGGGGGAGUCUCACCAUGUUGAUCAGGCUGGUCUCGAACUCCUGGCCUCAAGUGAUCCUCCCUUCUUGGCUUCCAAGUGCUGGGAUUACAAGUGUGAGCCACCAUGCUUAGCCUGAAAUAAUUAUCUAUAACUCAUAAUUAUUGCUAUAGCCUGAAAUAUAAAGAGAAAAAUCACAAUUAUAAAAUGAUGCUUAAAAAGAAAUGGUAAUUUUGAAAUGUAAUGGCCUAGAAAAAAAUGGUUUUGGCCAUGUUCACAGUUUUCUUUAAAACAUGAAAAUGCCAGUUCUACACAAAUUCUUGUUCUAGGUUUCUAUUUUUGCAGUCUUUCAGCACAUCAAACUGUAUAAACUUUUUUUUUCUUUGAGACAGAGUCUUACUCUGUUGUCCAGGCUAGAGUGCGGUAGCAUAGUCUCAGCUCACUGCAACCUCUGCCUCCUGGGUUCAAGCAAUUCUCUUGCCUCAGCUUCCCAAGUAGCUGGAUUACAGGCACUUGCCACUAUGGCCAGCUAAUUUUUGUACGUUUAGUAGAGAUGGGGUUUCACCAUGUUGACCAGGCUAGUCUCAAACUCCUGACCUCAAGUGAUUUACCCACCUCGGCCUCCCAAAGUGCUGGGCCUGUAUAAACUCUUUUCUGUGCUUGAUUUUCACCCAAAGAGUUAGAGUUUAUACAGAUUAACAAGGUGACUGGAGGUAUUUGUAUGUCCUACACAGAAGAGUCACUUCAGUUUGCUAGAACAGUACUCUUUCACUAUGGGUAUAGUUUCACAUACAAUUGUGAGGGAAGAAGGUACAUUUACUUAGCAGAAGCCAUCCAUUUUACCAAAUGCCAGUUCCCUGGAUUUACUUCUUUUAAACUAGUUUUAGUUGAGUUUUCAUCUUAUUGGUAACAUUUAAAAGAAUGUUCAAUUUGUUUCUGCUCCAAUUUCCUGCUGCUGUUUAGGAGGAGGUGGACAGAAAAGAAUUGAUCAUAUUCAAGAAUAUAAUAGCAAUGAACAUAUAUUUAUCAGUGCAGAACUUAAAGACUAAGACUUUAGGUCUGGUCUUCUUCCUUUCUCUGCUUUUCAGUCUCUGGCAACAAUGGCAGGGAGUUAGGGCAGACAAAUUGAACAUUCCUUUUCCUGCUAUUCAGAUUAAAACUGAUCAACUAAAGAGUUAAAGAAGUGAAUUCAGUGACUUGACUUUCAGUUAAAAUUAUUUUUGGUAAAUUUAUCUUUUGUCAGUGACCCAGAACUCACCUAAGCAGCCACAUCAGCUGAAUUAAUCCUAACAAUGAAUUGGCAGAUGCUUCAGUUACAUUGCCUUCAUAUCCUCAAAAUUGGGAAAAUUCAUAAUGACACAUCACAAAAUGGACUAUCAAGCCUAACACAUAAAGUGUACAUCUGUUUUGAACUAAAAGAUUGACUAAGAAAAGCAAUUAAGUGAUCUUUUCUCUAGAAGUUUGUUUAUGCUGAAUUCUCUUUUUUUUUUUUGAGGUGGAGUCUCACUCUGUUGUCCAGGCUGGAGUGCAGUGGUGUGAUCUUGGCUCAGUGCAACCUCCACCUCCCGGGUUCAAGUGAUUCUCCUGCCUCAGCCUCCUGAGUAGCUGGGACUACAGAUGCGGGCCAUCAUGCCAGGCUAAUUUUUUUGUACUUAUAGUAGAGACAGGGUUUCACCAUGUUAGUCAGGAUGGUCUCCAUCUCCUGAUCUCAUGAUCCACCCACCUUGGCCUCCCAAAGUGCUGGGAUUACAGGUGUGAGCCAUGGUACCCUGCUGUUUAUGCUGCCUUCUACACCUCUAGCUCCACACUGUCACCACAGCUUAAGCACAUGACUCUAAGAAAACAUAGGAAACAUAUUUACUUUUCAUUUCAGUAUAUCUUAUCUAAUAGAAUCUUAAAGAUUCUUCCUUGUUUCACAUGAAAUAGCACCUCUUUAGGUUUCUUCAGACUCAUACCUCAUUCUUUUCCAUCCCACCCCUAUUUAGUUAUUCAUCCAUUUUCUGUCACUUUUUCCUUUGAAACAUGUCUCAGAUUUAGUCUUCAUUCUUGUUGCAGCCACCUCAUUUCAAAGUCUUCAUUACUCAUUGCCUUCUAACUUGUUUUUCUGAUUACAUUCUUCUUUCUAGUAGUAGGUUAAAUUUACAGUGCUUUCAUCACAUGUCUCUGAGUUAAUCCCAGGAACUCUACAAAAUUCACUAGCUAAUCUCUGUCUUAACAUAGGAUGUAGUAUCAGAAGAAUCAGCUAUGAUCCACUAGUGCUUUUCUUGCUCACUUGACAGCUGCCUGCUAUUUGAACAAAAGGCAUCUUUAUUUUCAUUCUUUUUUAGAUGAUUCUCAGAUGUGAUCCUUUGCACAUAUAUAUGGAUCACAUCUGAGAGUCAUCUAUAUAUAUGUAUAUACAUACACACAUAUAUAGUGCAAAUACCUGCCUGUUAUUACCUUUUGAUGUGACAUACAAGAACACUGUUGCCUGUUUCAGACAUUCAACAAGAAUUAUAGUUUAUCUAGUCCCAUAAUCUCAUUUUAUCAAGAAGCCUAAGUUUUUUCAGGCUGUGGUUCUCUCUUUCUACCACCAGAAAGUAAAUUUCUUGAAGGUAGGCACUAUAGAAUUUUCAUUCUCCCACAAUUUUUGGCAGUUUUUAUGUAUUUUUGAAAUUUUUAUUGAAUAAAUAAAUUAGUUGAGCAAACAUUUAUUGCAUUUAUUGAUGGCUUACUCCAUUCUAGCCACUGUGAUGAUGUAUGUAGCACUGAAAAGGGGCAGAUACGGUUCCUUAGUGUGAUCGUAGUUCAUUACAGCCUCAAACUCCUGGGCUCAAGUGAUCCUCCUGCCUCAGCCUCCUGAGGAACUAGGAAUACAAGUGUAUGCCACCAUGCCCAGCUAAUUAAAUUUUUUUAUUUUUUUGGUAGAUCUGGGGUCUCAACAUGUUGCCCAGGCUGGUCUGGAACUCCUAACCUCAAGCAAUCCUCCUGCUAUGACCUUCCAAAACUAGUGGCAUGAGUGAGUUUAGCCCAGCUCCUGUCUUGAGUUAAUGAUCUAGUGGGAAAGGCAGGUAUUAAACAAAUACAUGGACAGUUAUGCUGGUCUAAAAUGGACAUCAUCAAUUCCUUCUCUUUGUGUAUAUGCAUGCUAUUUUUCAUGUGUAGAAAUAGAAACUAAUUCCCUUUUCCUUGAAUCUGCUGGCCAAUAGAAUAUGGCAGAAAUAGCAUAUUGGAACUUUUUUUUUUGAGACUUUUUUUUUAAGACAGUGUUGCCCAGGCUGGAGUGCAAUGGCAUGAUCUCGGCUCACUGCAACCUCCAUGUCCUGGGUUCACAUGGUUCUCCUGCUUCAGCCUCCUACGUAGUUGAGAUUACAGGCAUGCACCACCACACCAGGCUAAUUUUUUUUGCAUUUUUAGUAGAGAUGAGGUUUCACUAUUUUAGCCAGACUGGUCUCGAACUCCUGACCUCAUGAUCCAUCUGCCUUGGCCUCCCAAAGUGCUGAAAUUAUAGGCGAGAGCCACCACACCUAGCCAGAUUUUGGAAAUCUUGAAGUUAGGCCUUAAAGCUCUAGAGCUUGUGUCUGGGUGUCUGGGAAUAUUUUUCUUGAGAUAAUCCCUCUUAAAAUCCAGUCACUCUGCUGCAAGAAGCUCAAGCCACAUGUAGAGGCUUUGUGUAGGUGACUCCAGUCAAUAGCCCCAACUGAACGUCAAUGGCCAGAAUCAACUGGUCCUGUGAGUGAGCCAUUGUGAACAUCAAGUCCAGUCCAGACUUUAGAUGACUUCAUCCCCGCUACUAUCUUACUGCAACCAUGUGUGAGAAAAUUGAGAACUACAGAGCUGAGCUUUGUCAAUCCACAAAAUCUUAAGAGAGAAUGAAUUGUUUUAAGCCACCAAAUUUGGUCUAUUAUGCAGCAUUAUAAUACAUUUUGGUUAACCAGAAUGUAAAUUAUCAGACUAUCAGAUUAUGGUAAAUGAUAUCAUGGACAUGAACAGGGAUAAAAGGAAAACAUAAUUUAGAUGAUUCAGAUAUGGCAGCCUACAAUUGUUUAACAGUGUUUUGUCUUUCUGCUCAUGUUUGCAUUUGGUGAGAGCAGAUACUGUCCUAUUCUUAACUUUAUCCCCAGCACAUGGCAUAUAUGCUCAGUAUCUUCUGAAGUAAUAAUGAAGACCUUUUAUUAGUGUCUCAGAGAAGUCUGUAAUUCCAAAAAGGUUAAUAAUUACUUUAUUAACAGCAAAACUUUCCUCUUUCUACACUUGCUUAGGAAUACCACAUUUUACCCAAGGACAAAAUUCCAAGUUUUUUGGACUGAAUACUUGCAUCCAGGAUCCAUGUGAAUAGGGCAGUACUUUCCUGCCAGAGGUUAUAGGUGUUGCCUUUGAAUUUGGGGGGUUUAAUCAUAAUGGGCCACAUCACAUGUAUGGAGGUUACACAAGUGAUGAAAGGGACUGGGGCCAAGGAGCACACAGAUAAGUCUACUUAAUGAAAGAAAACUAAGGCUCAAAUGAAGUCUGUUAUUCUAUAGUUAGUCACUGUAAUCCUUAACCCUUUUUCCCAUGAUUCCUCGUAUGAAUUUUCUGCUUAAUUUAUUUCAUUUUAAUGUGUUUCAGGGAGUAAUUCUCCUCUAAGGUUACACCUAACUCUUUUCUUUCUUGCCCAUUUCUUCCCUAUACACCAUCCUUUUUCCUAUCUUUGUGUCUUUCUGAGUAUGUGUUUCUCCCAUUUUCUAUGGUACUUUUCCUUCUUUACACUUACAUAGAUCUAAUCUUUUGGGGGCUAUUUUGAGUCUAGUUCGCUGAAACUUUCCUUGAAGAUUCCAAGUUAAAUACGUCUCUCUUUCCUGAGCUUUUAUUUUACUUAUUUGUCCCCAGGACAUGACUUUCACUGUAUCUUGCCUUAUACAAUUACUAUUACAGUAAUAAUUAUUAGUAUAUAGUAUAUAGUAAUAUUAUAUGGUAUAUAUUAUAAUUAAUAAUAUUACUAUAAUAAUAAUUAUUUUCGAGACAGGGUCUGACUGCCACCAAGGUUAGAGUGCAGUGGUGUGUUCUCAGCUCACUGUAAUCUAUACCUUCUGGGGUCAGGCCAUCCUCCUAUCUCAGCCCCUCAAGUAGCUGGGACUACAGGUGUAUACCACCAUGCUCCGCUAAUUUUUGUAUUUUUUGUAGAGACAGAGUUUCACCAUAUUGCCCAGGCUGGUCUUGAACUUCUGAGCUCAAGCGAUCCUCCCGUCUUGGCCUCCCAAAGUGCUGAGUGCUGGGACUACAACCGUGAGCCACCGUGCCUGGCCCAUAUCAUAUUUAUCAUUUUCAACUAUUUUUAUGUAAUAUAGCUAAAAAUACUUGGAACCGUGAUCAUUUUAUUUUUACAAGAAUUUUACUACCUUUUUUUUUUUAAGAUGGAAUCUCACUUUGUCACCAGGCUGGAGUGCAGUGGCACAAUCUCAGCUCACUGCAACCUCCACCUCCUGGGUUCAAGCAAUUCUCCUGCCUCAGCCUCCUGAGUAGCUGGUACUACAGGUGCAUGCCACCAUGACCAGUUAAUUUUUGUAUUUUUAGUAGAGAUGGGGUUUCACCAUGUUGGCCAGGAUGGUUUCUAUCUCUUGACCUCGUGAUCUGCCCACCUUGGCCUCCCAAAGUGCUGGGAUUACAGGCAUGAGCCACCACGCCCAGCCAAUAUCACAUUUUAAAACAUAUCAUUAAUGUCUUUUUGUAAAAUAUACAUAUAUAUUUUUUUUCUAUUUUUACAUUUUUAAAAAAUUCACCUGGAUGCAGGUGGGCUGAGGCCACAAAGGGCAUCAGCCAUAUAUAUAUAUUUUUGAGAUGGAGUUUCACUCAUCACCUAGGCUGGGGUGCAGUGGUGGUAGUGGUAUCUCAACUCAGUGCAACCUCUACCUCCUGGGUUUAAGUGAUUCUCCUGCAUCAGCUUCUGGAGUAGCUGGGAUUACAGAUGCCCACCACCAUGCCCGGCUACUUUUUGUGUUUUUAGUAGAAACUGGGUUUCGCCAAGUUGGCCAGGUUGGUCUCAAACUCCUGACCUCAGGUGAUUUGCCUCCCAAAGUGCUGGAAUUACAGGUCUGAGCAAUGGCACCUGGCAAAAUACUAAUUUUUUUUUUUUUUUUUUAAGAUGGAGUCUUUCUCUGUCACCCAGGCUGGAGUGCAGUAGCACGAUCUUGGCUCACUGCAACCUCUGCCUCCUGGGUUCAAGCGAUUCUUCUGCCUCAGCCUCCGAGUAGCAGAGACUACAGGCACGUGCCACUGCACCUGGCUAAUUUUUUGUAUUUUUAGUACAGAUGGGGUUUCACCGUGUUAGCCAGGAUGGUCUCGAUUUCCUGACCUCGUGAUCCACCUGCCUCAGCCUCCCAAAGUGCUGGGAUUUACAGGCGUGAGCCACUGCACCUGGCUGAUUAUUAUGUUUAUAUAGUGAUAUAGUUAACUACACCCAAGAUCUGGAAUGUAAAUUUUACAUUAAAUACAAUAUUACUUGUUUAUAUCUGUACAGUCCUAUAUUUAUAAGUCUCAACAUCUAUUUUAUCCACAUCAAUAAGUAGAAUUUAGUACUUCUAUAUAAACUGUUCAUAUAUCACUUUUAUCUUAUUUUGAGACAAGGUCUCACUCUGUUGCCCAAGCUGAAGUGCAGCAGCACGAUCUUGGCUCACUGCAACCUGUGUCUCCUGGGUUCACACGCUGUCCUCCCACCUCAGCCUCCUGAGUAGCUGGGACUACAGGCAUGGACCAUCAUGCCUGGCUAAUUUUUAAUUUUUUUUUUUUUGAGACAGUCUCCCUCUGUCACCUAGGCUGGAGUACAGUGGCUCAAUCUCUGCUCACUGCAACCUCCACCUCCUGGGUUCAAGCAGUUCUCCCUGCCUCAGGCUCCUGAGUAACUGGAAUUACAGGCACCUGCCACCAUACCUGGCUAAUUUUUGUAUUUUUUGGUAGAGACGGGGUUUUACCAUGUUGGCCAGGCUAGUCUUUAACUCCUGACUUCAGAUGAAUAACCCCUCUCAGCCUCCCAAAGUGCUGGAAUUACAGGUGUGAGCCAUUGCACCCGGCCAAUUUUUAAAUUUUUAUAGAGACAGGGUCUCCCUGUGUUGCCCAGGCUGGUCUCAAACUUAUGAGCUUGAUAUCUUCCUGCCUCAGCCUCCCAAAGUGCUGGGAUUACAGGCAUGGGCCACCAUGCCUGGCCCUAUUUAUAAUUUAUUUUAUUUUAUUUUAUUUAUUUAUUUAUUUAUUUUUUUCACAAUAGGCAAAAUGGUUAUUUAUUAUCACAGAAUGGAGCUUUUCAUUUUCAGACAAGCCUAGGAGGUAUGAGACAAGUGUUUUUGUUGAGGUCUUUUGAAAAAUAAUUUGCAAAUUUUGUUAGUGAACGAUUUCUCUUCUUGUUUCUGGGUAAAUGUCAUAUGUAAAUCUAUCCUUGUAAUCACUUAAACUUAUUAUAACAUCAAUCAUUUGUCAUGGAUCAAUGAGGUACUCGGCAAUUCGGUAAAGUUCGUACCAAUUCCUUUGCUUUUAACCUCCAUAGUUAAUUGAAUCUUCUCCAAAACUCAGUGCUUGAGUACCAAAUAUAAUUUAUUUUUUGAAGUAUUUUAUUUUAUUUUUAACUUUUAGGUUCAGAGGUACAUGUGCAGGUUUGUUAUACAGAUAAAUUGCAUGUUGUGGGGGUUUGGUGUACAGAUUAUUUCAUCACCCAGGUAAUAAGCAUAGUACCCGAUAGGUAGUUUUUUAAUACUUACCCUGGUCCCUCUCUCCAUUCUCAAGGAGGCCCCGGUGUCUGUUGUUUUCUUCUUCCUGUCCAUAUGUACCUGAUGUUUAGCUCCUACUUAUAAGUGAGAACAUGCAAUAUUUGGUUUUCUGUUUCUGUAUUAGUUCACUUGGGAUAAUGGCCUUGAGUUCCAUCCAUGUUGCUGCAAAGGACAUGAUCUCAUUCUUUUUUAUGGCUGUAUAGUAUUCCAUGGUGUAUAUAUACCACAUUUUCUUUAUCCAGUCUACCACUGAUGGGCAUUUAGAUUGAUCCCAUGUCUUUGAUAUUGUGAAUAGUGUUGUGAUGAACAUGUAUGUACAUGGCUUUUUUUUUUUUUUUGAGGCGGAGUCUUGCUCUGUUGCCCAGGCUGGAAUGCAAUGGUGUGAUUUUGGCUUACUACAAUCUCUACCUCCCGGGUUCAAGCAAUUCUUGUGCCUCAGCCUCAGCUGGGAUUUCAGGUAUUCACCCCCAUGCCUGGCUAAUUUUUUUUAUAUUUUCAGUAGAGACGGGGUUUCACCAUAUUGGUCAGGCUAGUCUUGAACUCCUGGCCUCAAGUGAUCUGCCUGCCUCUGCCUCCCCAAGUGCUGAGAUUACAGGCAUGAGCCACUGCACCCGACCUACAUGUCUUUAUGGUAGAAUAUUUUAUAUUUUUGGGCAUAUAUACUUAAUAAUGGGAUUGCUGGGUCAAAUGGUAAUUCUGGUUUUUGUUUUUGUUUUUUUGAGAUGGAGUUUCGCUGUUGUCACCCAGACUGGAGUGCAAUGGCAUGAUCUCAGCUCAACCACAACCUCCACCUCCUGGGUUCAAGCAAUUCUCCUGCCUCAGCCUCCCGAGUAGCUGGGACUACAGGCGCGCAGCACCAUGCCCAGCUAAUUUUUGUAUUUUUAGUAGAGACGGGGUUUCACCUUGUUGACCAGGAUGGUCUCAAUCUCUUGACCUUGUGAUCCACUCGCCUUGGCCUCCCAGUGCUGGGAUUAUAUGCAUGAGCCACCACGCCCAGCCAGUAGUUCUGUUUUAAGUUCUUUCAGAAAUAACCAAACUGCUUUUCACAAUGGGUGAACUAACUUAGAUUCCCGCUAGCAGUGUGUAAGUGUUUCCUUUUUGCCACAACCUUGCCAGCAUCUGAUAUUUUUGGACUUGUGGCUGGGUCCUCCUGGGUGUGGGUGCUCACAUCUGUAAUCCCAGCACUUUGAGCUGAGACAGGAGGAUCUCUAGAGCCUAGGAGUUUUAGAGCAGCCUGGGCAACAAAGUCAGACCCUGUCUCUACAAAAAAUUAAAAAAUUAGCUGGGUGUGGUUGCACAUGCCUGUGGUCCCAGCUGCUCAAGAGGCUGAGGCAGGAGGAAUGCUUAAGCCUAGAAGGUGGAGACUACACAGUGAGCUAUGUUUGUCCCACUGCACUAAAGCUUGGAAGACAGAGUGAGACCCUGUUAAAAAAAACAACACACGGCCGGGCGCAGUGGCUCAAGCCUGUAAUCCCAGCACUUUGGGAGGCCGAGGCAGGUGGAUCACGAGGUCAAGAGAUUGAGACCAUCCUGGUCAACAUGGUGAAACCCCGUCUCUACUCAAAAUACAAAAAAAAAUUAGCUGGGCAUGGUGGCGUGCACCUGUAAUCCCAGCUACUCAGGAGGCUGAGGCAGGAGAAUUGCCUGAACCCAGGAGGCGGAGGUUGCGGUGAGCCGAGAUCGCGCCAUUGCACUCCAGCCUGGGUAACAAGAGCAAAACUCCGUCUCAAAAAAAAAAAAAAAAAAAACCACACACACACAGGUAUUCUAACUGGUGUGAGAUGAUAUCUCAUUGGGGUUUUGACUAUCAUUUUUCUAAUGAUUAGUGAUGUUGAAUAUUUUUUCAUUUGUUUGUUGGGUCCAUGUACAUCUUUUGAAAGUGUCUGUUCAUUCCUUUGUCCACUUUUAAAUAGUGUUUGUUUUUUGCUCGUGAACUUGUUUACAUUCCUUAUAGAUUCUGGAUAUUAGACCUUUGUCAGAUACAUACUUUGCAAAUAUUUCUCCCAUUCUGUAGUUUGUUAAUUUACUCUGUUGACAGUUUCUUUUGCUGUGAAGAAGCUCUUUAGUUUUAUUAGAUCCCUUUUGUCAAUUUUUUUUUUUUGUAAUUGUCUUUGGAGUCUGAUUCUGUUACCCAGGCUGGAGUGCAGUGGCAUAGUCAUGCUCACUGCAGCCUAGAACUAAGUGAGCCUCUUCCUUUAGCCUCUGGAGUGGCUAAGACUACAGGAGCAUGCCACCAUGCCUGGCUAAUUUAAAAAUUUUUUUAUUAGCCAUGUGUGGUGGCUCAUGCCUGUAAUACCAGCACUUUGGGAGGCCAAGGCAGGUGGAUCACAAAAUUAACUGGUCAUGGUGGUGUGUGCCUUAGUCCCAGCUACUGGGGAGACUGAGGCAGGAGAAUUGCUUGAAGCCAGGAGGAGGAGGUUCCAGUGGGCUGAGAUUGCGCCACUGCAUUCCAGCCUGGCACCUGUCAAAAGAGUGAGACUCUGUCUCAAAAAUAAAUAAAUAAAUAAAUAACGUAAGUUGCAAAGUUUACUCCUAAAAAAACAAUUUAGCAUAGUUCAGUGUUUAUUUUUUUCAAGUUUCCAACAAGUCAUUGUUUACUUUUAAAAAGUAAAAUUUAUGUACAAUACAAUGCAUAAAUCUUAAUUGUGCCAUGUGAUGAAUUUUGACAGGUGCAUAUAUCUGCUAAUAUCCCUAUCAGAAUUAGAACAUUACUGCUAUUCCAGAAGGUUUCCUCAUGCCCUUUCACAGUCAGUCUUCACCCAUGCUGCGGAGAGGAGCCAUAACUUUUUUUCACCAUAGAUUAAUUUUGCCUGUUCUAGAAUCCCGUGUAAACAGAAUCAUGUAGUAUAGGUACUUUUGUGGAAAACUUCUUUAGGCAGCAUGUUUUUUGAGAUUUAUUCAUGUCAUUGCAUGUAUUCAGUUACUUCGUUUUAUUGCUGAGCGGUAUUAGAUUGUGUGAAUGUACCACAGUUUUUCAUUUAUUCUCCUGUUGAUGGACAUCUGAGCUGUUACCUGUAUUUUUUGGCUAUUAUGAAUGAAGCUGCUAUGAACAUUCUAGUGCAAGUCUUUUUGUGGACGUGGCUUGUAUUUCUCUUAGGUCAAUAUCUGGGAAUAGAAAUGCUGGAUCAUUAGGUAGGUAGAUAUACAUGCAGUUUUUAAGAAACUACCUGAUGUUUUCCAAACUUGUAAUAUCAUUUUAUAUGGCCAUCAAAAAUGUAUGAGAAUUUCAGUUGCUCUGUCUCUUCACCAAUAUUUGGUGUUAUCAAUCUUUUAAAUUUUGGCUAUUCUCUUGGCAAGUGGCACUUGUAUAUUGAGGAUAAAUGUAAAAAUAAAUCAAAUUUGACUAGUCUCAUGGGCAUGUAAUAGUAUCUUGUACUUUUUUUUUUUUUUUUUUGAGACAGAGUUUCACUCUUGUUGCCCAGGCUGAAGUGUAAUGGCGUGGUCUCGGCUCACCACAACCUCUGCCUCCUGGGUUCAACAGAUUCUCCUGCCUCAACUUCCCAAGUAUCUGGGAUUACAGGCAUGCAUCACCAUGCCUGGCUAAUUUUGUAUUUUUAGUGGAGACAGAGUUUCUCCGUUUUGGUCAGUCUGGUCUUAAACUCUUGACCUCAGGUGAUUUGCCCAGUAUUUUGUAAUUUUAAUCCGCGUUUCCCUGAUGACUUAUUAUUUUGAGGAUCUUUUUUUUUUUUUUUUGAGACGGAGUCUCGCUCUUGGCUUACUACAACCUCUGCCUCCCAGGUUCAAUUGAUACUUGUGUCUCAGCCUCCCAAGUAGCUGGGGUUACAGGUGCACGCCACCAUGCUUGGCUAAUUUUUGUAUUUUCAGUAGAGAUGGAGUUUCACUGUGUUGUCCAGGCUGGUCUCAAACUCCUGACCUCAAGUGAUCUGCCUGCCUCAGCUCUCAAAGUGUUGGGAUUACAGGCAUGAUGAGCCACUGUGUCCGGCCGUGUGUUUUCUUAUACAAGCUUUAUGUUUAGGUCUCUGAACCAAUGUAAAUUAAUUUUUUCACAUAGUGUGAGAUAAAGAUGAGAGUUUAUUUUUUCCCAUCUGGAUAUCCAAUUAUUCUGGCACUAUUUGUUGAAAAGAUGUACAAUUUCCCAUUGAAUUGCUUUGGUUCAUUUGCUGAAAAUCGGUCGAUAGUGCAAGUGUGGGUCUUUUCAGUGUUCUCUAAUUUGUUCAUAUACUUGACUAUUUAUGACAGAAUGAUGCUGUCUUAAUGACUGUAAUUUCACAUUGUCUUUUUUUUUUUUUUUUUUUUUUUUGAGAAGGGGUCUUGUUCUGUCACCCAGGCUGGAGUGCAGUGGCA
Non-coding RNA from Callithrix jacchus (white-tufted-ear marmoset), 33056 nucleotides. NCBI's taxonomy places the organism in Eukaryota, Metazoa, Chordata, Mammalia, Primates, Cebidae. The record is from RefSeq and is a predicted model, not a curated record.